Molecule: ribosomal RNA, 500 nt
Filed under: uncultured bacterium
Lineage: Bacteria
Description: partial 16S ribosomal RNA
Rfam family: Bacterial small subunit ribosomal RNA
Source: RNAcentral
GACGAACGCUGGCGGCGUGCUUAACACAUGCAAGUCGAACGGGUCUGCCCUGUUUUUUGCGGGGUGGGUCAGUGGCGAACGGGUGAGUAACACGUGAGUAACCUGCCCCUCACUUCUGGAUAACCGCUUGAAAGGGUGGCUAAUACGGGGGGUUCUGGCUGUGCCGCAUGGUGUGGCUGGGAAAGAUUCACUUUUGUGGUGUUUUGGUGGGGGAUGGGCUCGCGGCCUAUCAGCUUGUUGGUGGGGUGAUGGCCUGCCAAGGCUUUGACGGGUAGCCGGCCUGAGAGGGUGGGCGGUCACACUGGGACUGAGAUACGGCCCAGACUCCUGCGGGAGGCAGCAGUGGGGGGUAUUGCACAAUGGGCGGAAGCCUGAUGCAGCGACGUCGCGUGAGGGAUGGAGGCCUUCGGGUUGUGAACCUCUUUCGCCGGUGAAGAAGGUCCUGCUCUUUGUGGUGGGGUUGACGGUAGCCGGGUUAUGAAGCGCCGGCUAACUACGUG